RNAcentral lists this ribosomal RNA (255 nucleotides) under uncultured bacterium. RNAcentral describes it as "partial 16S ribosomal RNA". It matches the Rfam family "Bacterial small subunit ribosomal RNA", at positions 524 to 776 of the family's 1533-position model. The record is from RNAcentral.
GACGUAGGUGGCGAACGUUAUCCGGAAUUAUUGGGCGUAAAGGCUGCGUAGAUGGUGUAGUAAGUUAUCGGUGGUAAAUCGAGGCUCAACCUCGUGGAAGUCGGUAAUACUGCUAUGCUAGAGGAUAGGAGAGGUUAACGGAACUCCCUGUGGAGCGGUGAAAUGCGUAGAUAUAGGGAAGAACACCAAUCAGGCGAAGGCAGUUAACUAUUCUAUUCCUGACAUUGAGGCAUGAAAGCGUGGGGAGCAAAACGG